Long non-coding RNA from Spinacia oleracea (spinach), 1091 nucleotides. RefSeq lists it as uncharacterized. The transcript is spliced from 3 exons. Lineage: Eukaryota; Viridiplantae; Streptophyta; Magnoliopsida; Caryophyllales; Amaranthaceae. The record is from RefSeq and is a predicted model, not a curated record.
UUUGUUGUGGGUGUUAUUAAUUUUUUUGGUUGUUUAAUUAUUAAUUUUCUAGAUUUCUAUGAUUCGGUGUUUGAUGUCUAUGAAUUUCAAGAUUUUAUUGUUUAAUUGUUUUUGAUUGGAUUCUGUAUGUUUAUUGAUUUUGUGUCUGAUGCCGUAUUAUUGGCUUUAAUUUAUUUAUGGGGUUGUUAUUCAGCGCCCUGCAAAUGCACAAAAACGCCCUAUUUUCACAACUCUUUCCUAUUUUACCCUUAUUCAUUUACCAUACCUUCUUUAUAAUUUUUUUUAUCUUACCUCUCUAUGUUCUUUUACCAUCUCUCUCACCCAACCAAACUACCCACCACCAUUUCAUCCAUAAUCACCGGAGCACCACCAUAGUUCAUGGAGUCCCCCAUGAAAUCCGACGAAAUUAUGUAUGACAAUGUGUCCGGCCUCCAUCAUCGGAUGACUAUUCUUCACUCAUUUACAAACCCAAUUACAAUUUUCUGGAGCAAGUUUGCAAAUUUUACAAGAAGAUUGUGCUUUUUUGCUUCACUAAAAGGAUCAAAUUGAUCAAUAUGAAGGAUUGGAGUAGCAAGUUAUGAUGCCACAAGAAAUAUGCUUGCAUUUAUGUGUAGCUGCCAAUGUUUGGGAAAAUAAAAUACAAGGUCGACGACUUGGAUAAACUUUUUUUUUCGGGAUCAAAAAGUUUUGGAGCUGCUAUUGGUGAUCAGGUGCUGAUGUUGCUUGGAGUUUCCGUUGAUGGUGAGCAGGGUGAGGUACGACUGUGGAAAAUGGAGCUUCGUUAGCUGUUGUUGCUAAUUAGAGUUGUUGUCUGCUUAUAGUUGUCUGCUGGAGCUAGCUGCUGCUAUUUCUGUUAUCAAUCUGUUUCUGUUUGCUUCUACUUAAUUGGACGUAGUGCUGCAGGCUGGUUAUUUAGGAAGUGUUUCUUUUUCUGUUUAGGAAUUUGAUGGUCUGGAGACCGAAGUUGAUUUUCUUUUUGUUCUGAUUAUUAGAUUGUUUAGUCAAACAAAAAAAAAUUGGUGUUUGUGGAUGCUUUUGUAAGAUGCUAUGAAAUUAUUUCAAUUUAAAUGAUUAUACAUUUUAGUUUUGGA